This 446-nucleotide ribosomal RNA is filed under the name uncultured bacterium. RNAcentral describes it as "bacterial SSU rRNA". It matches the Rfam family "Bacterial small subunit ribosomal RNA", at positions 27 to 524 of the family's 1533-position model. The record is from RNAcentral.
GAACGAACGCUGGCGGCAGGCCUAAUACAUGCAAGUCGAACGCACCGCAAGGUGAGUGGCAGACGGGUGAGUAACGCGUGGGAACCUUCCUAGUAGUACGGAAUAACUCCGGGAAACCGGUGCUAAUACCGUAUAAGCCCUCCGGGGGAAAGAUUUAUCGCUACUAGAUGGGCCCGCGUCGGAUUAGCUUGUUGGUGAGGUAAUGGCUCACCAAGGCUUCGAUCCGUAGCUGGUCUGAGAGGAUGAUCAGCCACACUGGGACUGAGACACGGCCAGACUCUACGGGAGGCAGCAGUAGGGAAUAUUGGACAAUGGGCGAAAGCCUGAUCCAGCCAUGCCGCGUGAGUGAAGAAGGCCUUAGGGUUGUAAAGCUCUUUUGGCGGGAAGAUAAUGACGGUACCCGCAGAAUAAGCUCCGGCUAACUUCGUGCCAGCCGCCGCGGUAAC